GCCUUCCCUGGAUCUUCCUACUGUGACAGGACUGCUGAAAGGUCAACAUGAGAGAUGGUGGUGAAAGGAAAGCAUGCGAAGUAGCUUUUCGCUUCUUCAGGCUACUUCAUAUAAAGACAUAGACUCCUGGUUGCAGCUUCACAUAUGGAGUGGAUUAGAAGUGCUGGUAAACUACAACAUCAGGAUGGGGGUUGUGUUUUAGAUACCCAAGAAAGCAAAAGGAAACACCGAAGGUCUGAAAGAGAAUCAAGUGAAUAUUCUAACAGCAAAUCAACUUCAUAAAUGGAGAGGCAAAGAAACUCUAGGCAAUGAGGAAGGCAGCCUAUAGGGCAAGAUGUCCAAGAAGGUUAAAACUAAGGGUAUGAAGAGACAUGUUUGGCUUUUAACAGA
Molecule: long non-coding RNA, 390 nt
Organism: Manacus vitellinus (golden-collared manakin)
Lineage: Eukaryota; Metazoa; Chordata; Aves; Passeriformes; Pipridae
Exons: 3
Source: RefSeq, a predicted model, not a curated record